This 200-nucleotide ribosomal RNA is filed under the name Salinivibrio kushneri. RNAcentral describes it as "partial 16S ribosomal RNA". It matches the Rfam family "Bacterial small subunit ribosomal RNA", at positions 1 to 183 of the family's 1533-position model. Lineage: Bacteria; Pseudomonadati; Pseudomonadota; Gammaproteobacteria; Vibrionales; Vibrionaceae. The record is from RNAcentral.
UUAAUUGAAGAGUUUGAUCAUGGCUCAGAUUGAACGCUGGCGGCAGGCCUAACACAUGCAAGUCGAGCGGAAACGGCGGUAUUGAAGCUUCGGUGGAUUUACUGGACGUCGAGCGGCGGACGGGUGAGUAACGGCUGGGAACCUGCCCUGACGAGGGGGAUAACCGUUGGAAACGACGGCUAAUACCGCAUAAUGUCUUA